UGUCUAGAGGAGCAUUAGUGGAAAAAAACUGUGUAGCCCUGAGACAAUAGGAUGACGUCACGACCAAUGAGAACGGCCUGCAGGGGGCGCAAGGUUUCACUUCUCUCUUGGACACUGACGGGUCUCGACACGCAAAUUCUGCUCCUGGCGUUGGCCGUCAGUGGAAGAGCGUAGCUUCGGUGGGGUUCUGUCUGCCUCUGAUGGGGUGCGGAUGUGUGGUUCGUCACUGGUGAAUGGUGUUCGACGAUGCAGGUGGAUUUUGUAACGAGCGGAUUUACAAUGAGGGAAUGCUGUGAACGGGAAAAAUGAUGAGCUGUCCUAACUUGCCCAGACAUGCCGUGAUGACGUCACAGCUGACGUCACAGGAUGCCCGGAACUGGUGGUCAUAGCUGCGAUGCUUUGCAACCUGCCUCUGUGCUCCGUCGCAGGGCGAUGGUCAGCGGCCUUUCCGGGCCGCUUUCUUCAAGAUGGCGCCGUUGAUCUUCAACUAAACUCCUUCUCUCCACUCUAUCUCUAUCUUUUUAUUUUAUUUUCAACCUAUUUUUUUAUUUUUUAGCAGCUCAACUAGCCCACAACUCACACAGUGGUCUGGACACGUCUUAGGUGCUCCCCAAUUAGUGUAACGACACACUGAAUGAUCCUAAUUACUGUGGGGGUCCCAAUUAGCUCUAAUUGCUCAUUAAUGGCGUCCAGGCCAGUGUGUGAGUUGUGGGCCAGUUGAGCUGAUCAUAUACUACUAUUGUGUACAACAACAACACCUUUAUUUUCAGAAGGAGAAUGGGGAGGUUCAUCGCCAGAGGCGAUACUCUACCCCAGUGUUGUUGGGGAUGCAGGGUAAAUAAAUAGGUGCAGGGUAAAUGCAGGGUAAAUAAAUAAAUAUUAGAUCUA
This is a long non-coding RNA of Ornithodoros turicata, 888 nucleotides long. RefSeq lists it as uncharacterized. Lineage: Eukaryota; Metazoa; Arthropoda; Arachnida; Ixodida; Argasidae. The transcript has 2 exons. The record is from RefSeq and is a predicted model, not a curated record.